CAUCUGGGGAAUGGCUUGGCUCGAGCGCCGAGGAAGGUCGUGGCAAGCGGCGAAACGCUUGGGCGAGGUGCAGGCAACCUUUGAACCCAAGAUCGCUGAAUGGGACUUCCUGACGGGAGGAAACUCCCGUCGUCCCCGGCAGGGGACGGGAACCCCGGGAACGGAAACAUCUUAGUACCGGGUGGAAAAGAAAGCAAUCGCGAUGCCGGGAGUAACGGCGAGCGAAACCGGCAGAGGGCAAACCGAACCUGGUGACGAAAGUCACUGGGGAUGUGGAGUUGUAGGACUUCCUCCAAUCCCUCGUGCGGGAAGCCGAAGCAGCUGGAAAGCUGUGCCUUAGAGGGUGAAAGCCCCGUAGGCGUAACUGCGCAGGGUACGAGGGGAAGUAUCCUGAGUAGGAUGCCUUGGAAAUGGUGUCCGAAGCAGGGAGGCAUCAACUCCCAACCCUAAAUACGUCUCGAGACCGAUAGCGCACGCAGUACCGCGAGGGAAAGCUGAAAAGCACCCCGGAAGGGGGGUGAAAAGAGCCUGAAACCAGAUGGCGAUUGUUGGGCACGGCUCGAAAGAGCUGAUCCUCCUCGAAGGAAGCCGUCGCGAGGCGGUUGUACGAGAGGAGGGGAUCAGGGUCGUGUCGUCCGUCUAGAAUCACGGGCCAGGGAGUUUCGUGCCGUGGCGAGGCUAAGUGGUUUAUCCACGGAGCCAGAGCGAAAGCAAAAAGUCCGCAACCCGAAAGGGCGAGGGACUGGGUGCGAAUAGCGCCCGGAGUCACGGCGCGAAGACCCGAAACCGGGCGAUCUAGUCCGGGGUAGGCUGAAGCCCCUCUAUGAGGGGUGGAGGGCCGAACCGGUCUUGAUGUGCAAUUCGGUCGGAUGACCCUGGGCUAGUGGCGAAAGACCAAUCAAGCCCGGUGACAGCUGGUUCCUCUCGAAGCUGGCCGCAGUCAGGCCCAGCGCGAGGCUGCCAGUGGUGUAGAGCACCGAUUGAUGAAUGCGGGGGGAGACCCUCGGUUCGUCUGUCGAACUCCAAAGCCAUUGGCGCCGUAGACCGCUGGAGACGGGAUGGUGCGGGUAAGCUGCAUCUCCGAGAGGGGAACAACCCAGACUGGGGUUAAGGCCCCAAAAUGCCGGCUAAGUGUUAACCCUAAAGGGCGUUCUCGUCCUCAGACAGCGGGAAGGUAGGCUCAGAAGCAGCCAUCCUUUAAACAACGCGUAAAAGCGGACCCGUCGAGGACGGGGGCCCCGAAGAUACACGGGGCUAAGCCGGCUGCCGAGACCUCAGGGCAGCCGAAGUCGAGUAGGCUGAUCCGGUAGAGAGGCGUCCGGCGUGGACGGAAGCUCGGCCGUGAGGUCGAGUGGACCGCGCUGGAAUGAGGAUCCUGGCGGUAGUAACAGCAUAGCUGGGUGAGAAUCCCAGCCGCCGAAGGGGCUCGGGUUCCUCGACAAUGAUCGUCAGUCGAGGGUUAGUCGGUCCUAAGGUGGCCCUCAACCAGAAGCCAUCGAAAGGGAAUCCGGUUAAUAUUCCGGAACCACCCAGGUACCUGCGGCAACGCAAGCCUGGCUUCCGACGCUUCGAGGUAGGCCGAGUGAGGUCGUCGCCUCAUUUAACCGCCGAAACCCGGGGAGUUCCGUAAUGGAGAGAACCGGGUGAAUGCGGGAAUAGCCUGCCGUAAGGUGGGUUCGGCUGAUCCUUGGAGCCCGUGAAAAGGGAGCCGGGAAAUGGGACCCUGGGUGACCGUACCUAGAUCCGACACAGGUGCCCCUAGGUGAGAAGCCUAAGGCGUAUCGGGAGACACCAGGCUAGGGAAUUCGGCAAGUUGGCCCUGUAGCUUCGGUAGAAGGGGUGCCUGCCCCGCAAAGGGCAGGUCGCAGUGACCAGGGGGCUACGACUGUUUAAUAAAAACGUAGCUCACUGCGAAGGCGAAAGCCCUUGUACAGUGAGUGAAUUCUGCCCAGUGGCGGUACGUGAAUGCUCGUUCCAACGGGCAGAAGCGCCGCUAAACGGCGGGGGUAACUAUAACCCUCGAGCAAGGGGGUUGCAAAACUUGGCUGUAUGCUGGGAAGCGAGAACCCCUAGGUCCUGAGCAAGGAAAAAUCCUAGGGGUGGUGAAGCGAUCAGCAGGGAACGGCUCCAUUUAAAUAGCAACGUGGUUCAGGGAAAGAAGGGGAGAAAAAUAAAAUUCGCCAAGGAAAAAUAUCGGAGGCACUAUAUCCAAGGUUUCGUCGACGCGGAGGGAUGUUUUUCAGUGUCGCUGAAGAAAGUCCCUACAGCGAGAUUCGGAUGGACCAUAGAUCCGGUUUUUCAUGUCACACAACAUAAAAAAAAUCGUGCAGUACUGGAGAUGAUAAGGGACGUGCUUGGAUGCGGACGAAUAGCGGAAAAACAUGGCCAGAGGGAUUGUCUCAUUUACGUGGUCGACAACAGGAGACAACUUCUGGAGAAGGUUGUCAGAUUUUUCGAGAGAUAUCCGUUGCUUGCAAAAGCUAGGGAUUUCGAGAAAUUCAAGAAGAUCGUGGUGGGUCUUGAACAAAAAGAGCAUUGGACUAGGGAAGGGUUUAAAAACUUGGCGAGGCUUGCGUUUGAAAUGAAUUCAUUGGGGAAGCAGAGGAGAUACAAAAUGGAAAGGAUAUUCAGAGAUGUUGUGGAGGGAGCCGACUCCUCAGAGACUACAAGCCAAGCAUCCGCAAGCUGGAUGAGUAAUCCAUAGCGGAUGAUGAUAUAGUCCAGCACGGAAACGUGUUGCUUAAGGUAGCGUAAUACCUUGCCGCUUAAUUGGCGGCUUGCAUGAAGGAAUCAACGAUAGCCCCACUGUCCCAGCCUGGAACCCGGUGAACCCACUGGCCUGCGAACAUGCAGGGGAUCCCCGAAGGGAAACGAAGACCCCGUGGACCUUUACUGCAGCCUGUCGUUGGGACGCGGUUGUGGGUGCAGAGCGUAGGCGGGAGCCUUCGAAGCCGAGUCUUCGGGCUCGGUGGAGGCGCCAAUGUAACACCGCCCUCCUGCGACUACGUUUCUAACCCCGAGAGGGAGACAGCGGCAGGUGGGCAGUUUCGCUGGGGCGGCAGCCUCUCGAAAAGAUAUCGAGAGGGCCCAAAGGUCGGCUCAGGCGGGUCGGAAAUCCGCCGUGGAGGGCAAGGCCAAAAGCCGGCCUGACUGUGAGCUCACUACCAAGGCUCGCAGAGGCGAAAGCCGGGCCUAGCGAACCUCGAUGUCCCUCUUGGUGAGGGCUCGGGAUGACAGAAAAGGUACCCCGGGGAUAACAGAGUUGUCGCGGGCGAGAGCCCCUAUCGACCCCGCGGUUUGCUACCUCGAUGUCGUUUCUUCCCAUCCUGGCCGUGCAGCAGCGGCCAAGGGUAGGGUUGUUCGCCCAUUAAUGGGGAACGUGAGAUGGGUUUAGACCGUCGUGAGACAGGUCGGAUGCUAUCUUUCGGGGAUGUCGGGCGCCUGAGGGAAAGGUGUCCCCAGUACGAGAGGAACAGGAUGCCGGCGCCUCUGGUUUACCGGUUGUCCGACAGGGCAGAGCCGGGUAGCUACGCGCCAGUCGAUAAGGCCUGAAAGCAUCUAAGGCCGAAGCGACUCCCGAAAAUAGGCGCCCU
RNAcentral lists this ribosomal RNA (3593 nucleotides) under Hadesarchaea archaeon. Its description in RNAcentral is "bacterial LSU rRNA". It matches the Rfam family "Archaeal large subunit ribosomal RNA". Lineage: Archaea; Methanobacteriati; Hadarchaeota (SeqCode); Hadarchaeia (SeqCode). The record is from RNAcentral.